CCUAGCACCGAGCACGGCGCUCUGUACCCAGAAAGCCCUCCAUAAUUACCUUUGACUGAUUGACUGCUCGAUUGACCAGAAUUCCACCAGCUUUCCAUCCCCAGGCCUGGAAAUUUCAGGGACCGAGAAGCCUGGCUGGGAAGGAGCGGACAGACUGACCGCCUCCGCCCCCGUGACGGAGGAACCGGGAGAAUGAAGAGGUCCCGCUGUUCCUCGUGCAGAAAACACUCCAUAAAUACUUGGGUCCAUUCGACCUGAUCAACCCCAGCGGUCGGAACGGCGAGGGACCCGUAGUAAGCCCGGAACGGGUGCCCCAGCCUGGUUAAGGCGGCUGGCAGAGCUCGCUCCAGAUGGAUCUGCUGCCAUCGGGUGGCCACGAUGGAGACGCCAACCCUAGCCCACGUCGCGGCUCCCCAGAAAGGCCCCGCUUCGCGCCGGCCCGGCUCACCGCUCCCUCGCCGUCCCUAAGUCUUCCGGCUAAGAACCAGCUGGCGCUGCUCGACAGCUCCGGGGCCGACAGACGAAGCCCCGGAGGGUCACCUGUCCCAUCCAGACUCCGCCCAGGAGAGUAGAGCCAGCGAGGCCCCUCGGACCGGGCCGGGAAGAAAGGCUACCUCUUUAUUGUUGUUAUUAGUCUUUAACCUCGAAUGAAAAGGAAAGGGGCUGUCUGAAAUCUGAGAUUUCUUGAGUGCCUGCUCUGCGCAGAGCGCUGUGCCGCUUCCGACGGCGUGUAGGACGUCGGGUUGGGCGGCCGGUGGUUGG
Molecule: long non-coding RNA, 762 nt
Organism: Ornithorhynchus anatinus (platypus)
Lineage: Eukaryota; Metazoa; Chordata; Mammalia; Monotremata; Ornithorhynchidae
Exons: 3
Source: RefSeq, a predicted model, not a curated record